RNAcentral lists this ribosomal RNA (327 nucleotides) under uncultured eukaryote. RNAcentral's name for it is "partial 18S ribosomal RNA". It matches the Rfam family "Eukaryotic small subunit ribosomal RNA", at positions 1470 to 1796 of the family's 1831-position model. The record is from RNAcentral.
CCCCUAGAUGUUCUGGGCCGCACGCGCGCUACACUGACGAAUGCAACGAGCUUAUAACCUUGGCCGAAAGGUCUGGGUAAUCUCCAAAUUUCGUCGUGAUGGGGAUAGAUUAUUGCAAUUAUUAAUCUUCAACGAGGAAUGCCUAGUAAGCGCAAGUCAUCAGCUUGCGUUGAUUACGUCCCUGCCCUUUGUACACACCGCCCGUCGCUCCUACCGAUUGAAUGGUCCGGUGAAGCGUUCGGACCGUGGCCUUUGGACGGUUCGCCGUCUGUUGGCUGCGGGAAGUUCGUUAAACCUUAUCAUUUAGAGGAAGGUGAAGUCGUANCA